Molecule: transfer RNA, 74 nt
Filed under: Zea mays
Lineage: Eukaryota; Viridiplantae; Streptophyta; Magnoliopsida; Poales; Poaceae
Rfam family: tRNA
About the family: Transfer RNA (tRNA) molecules are approximately 80 nucleotides in length.
Source: Rfam by way of RNAcentral
GUAUGUCUAGCUCAGUCGGUAGAGUGUAAGACUUUUCAACCUUGAGGUUGUGGGUUCAAGCUCCAUGGUGGGCG